UCCCUCUUAGCUCAGUUGGUCGAGCGCGUCACUAGUAUCUGUUGGAAAUUGUAAAGUGUUAAUGACGAGGUCAGUCGUUCAAAUCGGCUAGCGGGAA
Non-coding RNA from Mycena olivaceomarginata, 97 nucleotides. NCBI's taxonomy places the organism in Eukaryota, Fungi, Basidiomycota, Agaricomycetes, Agaricales, Mycenaceae. The record is from the annotation of a GenBank genome assembly.